UCACAGCUCGCUUUAAUCAUGCUGCCUGGAUAAGUGCUUUGACUACGUGUUGAUGUGUGGUGUUUGUCAUAUUUUGCCAUAGUUAUUUUCUUUACUUAAAAUAUGUAGAUAUCACGUAAUUUGUUGAUUGCUACGCAGCUGUUUAGUUGGAGGAAGUACUUUUUAUGCAUUUCAUUGCGGGUUUCUGCUGUAUAUCUGUGUCCAAAGCGUUGGAUUCCUGGAUCUGUUUCCGGAUUUUUGUAUUUCGUUUCCUGGGCUCAAUCGACCAGAUUCUGUACAUCCAGCUGGAAACGCGACGGGGCAGGACGAUGCGUGUUAGUGUUAGGGCCUUGGACACACUGUACUCCAUUAUUCUACUGGUUGUUGUACUCCUGUCAUGGGGAUAUGUUAUUUAUGGAACUAGAAUAGCUGCAAAAUGGCAGCUGGAGAAAAGGCUGCAGGCGCAAGUGUGAACUUUAAACGGGAGAAACAGCCUUUUCUCUUCAAACCUGGCCGCCGCCGGAAGCCUCUCAAGUACCAGCAGCAUUGCGAUAUAUGUUCCUAAACAUCAUUUCAUAAUUGUAUUUUAGAUAUGUCGUUUUUUUCUUCUUUUCCAUUUGCCGGACUUGACCAUUUUAAUUGUUUUUAUUAUUAUUUUGUGGAUAAUACAAAUGCGUAAGAGUCGUGUUUUUGAUUACCUUUUAAAUAAUGUAUUAGCAAUAAUUCUACAGAUAAAUAAAACUCUAUUCAGAUUUU
This is a long non-coding RNA of Paramormyrops kingsleyae, 735 nucleotides long. RefSeq lists it as uncharacterized. Lineage: Eukaryota; Metazoa; Chordata; Actinopteri; Osteoglossiformes; Mormyridae. The record is from RefSeq and is a predicted model, not a curated record.